RNAcentral lists this ribosomal RNA (253 nucleotides) under uncultured bacterium. RNAcentral describes it as "partial 16S ribosomal RNA". It matches the Rfam family "Bacterial small subunit ribosomal RNA", at positions 524 to 776 of the family's 1533-position model. The record is from RNAcentral.
UACGUAGGGUGCAAGCGUUGUCCGGAAUUAUUGGGCGUAAAGAGCUCGUAGGCGGUCUGUCACGUCGGCUGUGAAAACUCGGGGCUCAACCCCGAGCCUGCAGUCGAUACGGGCAGACUAGAGUGCGGUAGGGGAGACUGGAAUUCCUGGUGUAGCGGUGAAAUGCGCAGAUAUCAGGAGGAACACCUAUAGCGAAGGCAGCUUGCUGGGACGUUACUGACGCUAAGGCGCGAAAGCGUGGGGAGCGAACAGG